Long non-coding RNA from Pygocentrus nattereri (red-bellied piranha), 2668 nucleotides. RefSeq lists it as uncharacterized. The transcript is spliced from 2 exons. The record is from RefSeq and is a predicted model, not a curated record. NCBI's taxonomy places the organism in Eukaryota, Metazoa, Chordata, Actinopteri, Characiformes, Serrasalmidae.
AUUGGAGCAGGUCGCGCGGAUGUGGUCGGUGCUUAUUAAAACGAUGAUGCAUAAAAGUGGUGCGCGCUAAAGAGGCCGCCGAGCUUCAGACGGACACCGCGCGCUCCACAGUCCGGCUGAUGGAGAGAACACCUGCGAAAAAAGAGAGGGUGAGAGAGAGGGAGAGAGAGAGCGAGAGAGAGAGAGAGAGAGAGAAGGAGGCCACGGACUUCAAAGCGGCUCCAUCCACAGGAGGAGAAGAAGAGGAGGAGGAGGAGGAAGAGAGGAGGAGGAGGAGGAGAAGGAGAAGAGGAGGCGCAGGGGUGCGCGCUGCGCGUUCUCGUUUCUGCCCGAGCGUCUCCAGCAGCGCUGCGCUUUUUAAACGUGUUUAAGAAAAUGCGCUUUUUGAAAAAGAAAUGAAGAAAACUUCAAAACAUUGAGCGCAUUUUUUCACAUAUUCAGAUCGUGUCUGCGAAUCGCCGCGGGCAAAAUAAGAGCAGGAGAUUCAGAGUCCUCUCCAGGUGCUCGUCCUCCUCCUCCGCCCUGCAAAUACGCACACACAUACAGGGUCAAAGGUCAGACACGGACUCAAAGAAAAGCCACCUAUAACAGGAACGAUUAUACUAUGCCUCACCUUCAUGCUGCUUCUGUCCUGCUUUUGUUGGAACUCUACAUACUGUUUGUCCCUUUUUCUGAACCCUGACUGCAUUUCCUAACAACGUUCCUGAGAAAAGUUUCUGAAUGAUCGCAAAAGUCACACCUGGCAAAGUGGAGGACCAAGCUAACAAAGAAAGCCUUGCUGGAGGAGUCAACGAUGGACUUACUCUUUUUCCUGGGCAUCAAGGUCUCGGACCAGUGCAUCACGCUUGUUGACCAGUAUGACCAGCUCGUCCAGAAGGAGCUGCUCCCGUCGCUUCUGGGCCUCAGUUUUCUGCCAGUCUGAAAGCAGUGAGAGACACUUCAGGACAAAAGUUCAGAAGAGGAACAGAGAAGCUGCCAAGCUAAAAUUUAUUUACCUGGUGACCCUAUACAGUUCAUACUCCAUAAGCUCCACAGACCUAAAGACAGCCAUAAUGGCUAUACAAGAACAAAGAAGUUGUAAGACAAACUGCCCACUGUGCUCAACAUGAACUGCACUCUGGAAGUGGCCAUUUUUUGGUCAAGACUGAGAAUACAGCAGUUGUAAAGCAUCACUGCUGCAGUUCAGUGAGUUUCUGUCAGUCACUACCUCCAUGGAGUUGAUGCCACAGAGUGGAAUUCACCAACAUAAGAACAUCUGAUAAGAAGCGUAAACAUGAGGACGGGGUACCAAGAGCACCCAGCAAAUACCAUUUAUGGCAGUUUCCCAACACUUUAGAACACCUAGUCCACCCGACUCCUCGGAUACAAUCCCAAAUGGAUCAAGAUCUCUCGGCACAAUCUAAAAUACAGAGUAGGGUCGUUUUGACUCAACUGGAUUAAGCCAGAACGAGGACUCUUAAAGGGUCUGACUGGGCAAUCCCUAUUGCAGCCCACAAAAUUCACAGAACUCUACAAGGUGAAGUUAGGUGAAGCACAAAUGGUAUAAACUUCACAUAACUUAAUUUGUGGACCGCAGUAGGAAUUGUCCAGUCAUACCUUUUAGGAGUCCUGUUUGUGGCUUAGUCUAGUUGGGUCAAAAUGAUCCUGUUUCGCAUCUUGAAUUGUGCUGAGAGAUCCUGAUUUGUUUGGGUCAGUUCCGAGGAUUUGAUCGGACUGUUCCCAAGGUGUUUUGAAACUGCCAUAAAAGGUAUAGGGUCUGGAAGUGACUGGUCUAUCACUGUCACAGUCCACAAAUUCUCACUUUGAGUUCACAGUGUUCAUGCUUUUUCAACUGUGUCUGUGAGUUGAAUCUACAUAUACUAUUGCCAAAGUGUAUGCGUGAGUGUACACAAGGUGACCUGGCCAGGUAGGCCGGCCUGCUGGUCUGAAAUAUCAGCCUGGCUAACAUGAUCAGCCAUUACUGAUACCAGUGGAGAUUAGGCUGCGCUCACAGCCAACGAGACGUUAACUUCACCAAGCCUAUUCUUUCAUUCUGUGUAAGAACACACUGUGCCGGUAGUGUCUGCGUGCUGCUUUCACACACUUCAGAGAAAUCAAAAAGAAGAAGAGAAAAAGAAAAAAAGAGAGAAAGCCUAACCCUGACAAAAAAGUCCUUAUGUUGCUCAGCCCUCACCCACUAACCUGCUAACUCACAACAGUGUAUCAAUAUUUGACGAUUGAUUCCUGAAAAAGAAAAAAAAAGAAAAGGGGCGGUAGAGAUAAAACAGACGUUUGGCCCGUUCCCCCGUAAAAUGUCAAUCCUUAAAAUAAGUGUACUUUAUUAAAAAUAAAUAUUUCUUCUGUGGUGGUGUGAAAUUGCGGCAGAGGGGCGGUGCGUGUGUGUCCCGCUGUGAGCCGGGGUGGGUCCUGAAAGGUCUCCUCCGCUGCCUCAUUUGGCCUUUGAAGUGAAGCACACAGGCGAAAUGAACACAGUUCCAAUAUUUGGCAAGUUAUUCGGCCUUCCAGCACCAAAGGAAACAACUCCGCUCCUCCAGUCUUCAGCCUCAUCAAAAAGCUAAUGCUUCAAAUAUUUUUAAAGGAUUCCUCUCUUUUAAAAAGUCUUUUUGAAGAAUUAAAAGUGAGGUGGACUGGUAAAAAAAAAAAAAAAAAAAAAAACUUUAGGAAUUUA